AUUGAACGCUGGCGGCAUGCUUUACACAUGCAAGUCGGACGAGUGGCGAACGGGUGAGUAACAUAUCGGAACGUACCGAGUAAUGGGGGAUAACUAAUCGAAAGAUUAGCUAAUACCGCAUAUUAUUCGAGCGGCCGCUAGCGGAUUAGCCGGUUGGUGGGGUAAAGGACUACCAAGGCGACGAUCAGGAGCGGGUCGGAGAGGAUGAUCCGCCCCACUGGUACUGAUACACGGCCCGGACUCCUACGGGAGGCAGCAGUGGGGAAUUUUGGACAAUGGGCGCAAGCCUGAGCCAGCCAUGCCGCGUGAGUGAUGACGGCCUUCGGGUUGUAAAGCUCUGUUAAUCGGGACGCGGUACCGGAAUAGAAAGCCACGGCUAACUACGUGCCAGCCGCCGCGGUAAUAC
Molecule: ribosomal RNA, 406 nt
Filed under: uncultured bacterium
Lineage: Bacteria
Description: partial 16S ribosomal RNA
Rfam family: Bacterial small subunit ribosomal RNA
Source: RNAcentral